AAGUCGUAACAAGGUUUCCGUAGGUGAACCUGCGGAAGGAUCAUUACAAAUCCAAAAAUAUUCUAUACAAGUUGCAAUGUUUGUGGUUUGUGGAGAGAGGAGGAGGAGAGUUUACUCUGCUGCUACUCAUUCAUUCCACAUGCUCUUUCUUUUAUGACGUUUAUUUGUUGUUCAGUUGUAUUUCAUUACAAAAAUUCAAUCACAACUUAUAACAAUGGAUCUCUAGGCUCUU
RNAcentral lists this unclassified non-coding RNA (232 nucleotides) under fungal sp. Its description in RNAcentral is "partial internal transcribed spacer region". The stretch from base 1 to 46 matches the Rfam family "Eukaryotic small subunit ribosomal RNA", at positions 1786 to 1831 of the family's 1831-position model. Lineage: Eukaryota; Fungi. RNAcentral also lists the same sequence under 1 other name. The record is from RNAcentral.